RNAcentral lists this long non-coding RNA (911 nucleotides) under Homo sapiens (human). RNAcentral describes it as "non-protein coding lnc-DLX3-3:3". The record is from RNAcentral. Lineage: Eukaryota; Metazoa; Chordata; Mammalia; Primates; Hominidae.
AGUCCCGCACCUCCCCACCUUGCGAGCCCAGCCCGGGCUGCGCUUUCCUUCCGGGGAAAGAGAAAAAGAUCCCGGCUCGGCCGCCUCCUCUUAAAGGGGCAGCACCGCCCCUCCCUCCUCAUCCUCCCUACCCCAGCUCCGCCUUCUCCCCCAAACACCUGUCGGCAACCCCCAAAGGCUUAGAUUUCCCCUCCCCGCCCCUCGCUUCUCCGAGAAAGCGUCGCCUGGGGAGCAAGAUGGAUGUGACGGGCGGGGCCGGGGGUGGGAUUUGUCUGGCCGCUUUCCUGCGGCUGCUGCUGCUGCUGCUGAAAAGGCCAGCCGGGCUGGAGAGACCUGGCAUUGGCGCAUCUGGGAACCGACGUCCGUGCGCGGCUGGCUAGAAUGCUGGACUCGCCUCCGCAGCGCUGUGAGUCCCCAAGAGGUGGCUGGCGGUCUCUGGGAGUUCUUCCUCGCACUCAGGCCCCUCGCUGUCUUUGCCGAGAUUUAUUUCUCCUAUCCACUCACCCUGAUCCGAGCUGAGAUUGGCUCCUCAGCAAAGACAGACAUAUUUAGCAGUGGUAACAACCAAAUGUCGCUAAUUAUAAUUACCAAAAAGCAUUUUUCCCCCUAAGUGCUGCGACUUCUGGUAUCAAAGGCUAAGACUGUCAAUGUAGAAAUGAGUCCGUCCUUCACAGAACGCACUGCGUAGCCGGGAAGCUGAGCCUAGACCGUAUCCAUUUCUCGUCCACUCCUGCCUUCAGGGCCCAGCCCAGCAGAAUCCCAGAGGCUCCCUCUUCCCACCCAAGCUCGAACAGAGUGUUUGGAGACUGGGCUCGGACGUCAGCACCCAUCAGGUGUUUGGUGGGUAGGGCCAGGUGGCAGUAAGUGGGCGGAGACUAAAGGUCUCCUCCACCAAGGAAUCAAAUCGAAAG